This 222-nucleotide long non-coding RNA is filed under the name Trifolium pratense (red clover). RNAcentral describes it as "long non-coding RNA (TPRA_LNC014218)". Lineage: Eukaryota; Viridiplantae; Streptophyta; Magnoliopsida; Fabales; Fabaceae. The record is from RNAcentral.
AACUGAUACUAUAUUAUAUAAAUGAAUGCUUCACUCUCGCUCUCACAUCUAUUUAUAAAAUACUUUUUUUGAAAACUAAUAUAGUUUAAUUAUCUUUAAAGAGCUGUCGCGGUGUUUAAAAAUAAUGUUCAGUUUUUACUAUCCGAUAUAAAUCUCACACUGUCGCGCUAUUAAUUUAUACCUUAGUUAAUUUUCACUCUCGUGCAAAAUCUUUAAUUUAAU